Uloborus diversus is the source of this 285-nucleotide long non-coding RNA. RefSeq lists it as uncharacterized. NCBI's taxonomy places the organism in Eukaryota, Metazoa, Arthropoda, Arachnida, Araneae, Uloboridae. The transcript has 2 exons. The record is from RefSeq and is a predicted model, not a curated record.
UGACAAGGAAUCGAUGUUCAAAAAUUAAACAUCGAUGUUAUCCAUGCAUAACGAGAAAACAUCAAUAGAAGACCAGAAACCAUUGAUGUUUUUUCACACUCGAUUCUGAAACAUCGAAUCUUCAAAUCUAUAUAUUCGUAUAUACAAGAAACAUUGAAGAUAUUAUGGCUGCUAAAGGAGAGAAAGUGAGGAAAACUGCAGAAGAUUUUGUAAUUAAAGAAGAAUGAUAGUUUCUUUCUGCAUUUUAUUAAAAUGAAAAUGAUAAAAUAAAUAUGCAAAUUUUUA